AGGGAAUUUUCGUCAAUGGGGGGAACCCUGAACGAGCAAUGCCGCGUGAGUGAGGAAGGUCUUCGGAUCGUAAAGCUCUGUUGUAAGAGAAAAACGACAUUCAUAGGGAAUGAUGAGUGAGUGAUGGUAUCUUACCAGAAAGUCACGGCUAACUACGUGCCAGCAGCCGCGGUAAUACGUAGGUGGCGAGCGUUAUCCGGAAUGAUUGGGCGUAAAGGGUGCGUAGGUGGCAGAACAAGUCUGGAGUAAAAGGUAUGGGCUCAACCCGUACUGGCUCUGGAAACUGUUCAGCUAGAGAACAGAAGAGGACGGCGGAACUCCAUGUGUAGCGGUAAAAUGCGUAGAUAUAUGGAAGAACACCGGUGGCGAAGGCGGCCGUCUGGUCUGUUGCUGACACUGAAGCACGAAAGCGUGGGGAGCAAAUAGGAUUAGAUACCCUAGUAGUCCACGCCGUAAACGAUGAGAACUAGGUGUUGGGGGAAUAACUCAGUGCCGCAGUUAACGCAAUAAGUUCUCCGCCUGGGGAGUAUGCACGCAAGUGUGAAACUCAAAGGAAUUGACGGGGGCCCGCACAAGCGGUGGAGUAUGUGGUUUAAUUCGAAGCAACGCGAAGAACCUUACCAGGCCUUGACAUCCCUUGCAGAGGUAUAGAGAUAUAUCCGAGGUUAUCAAGGAGACAGGUGGUGCAUGGUUGUCGUCAGCUCGUGUCGUGAGAUGUUGGGUUAAGUCCCGCAACGAGCGCAACCCUUGUGAUAUGUUACUAACAUUGAGUUGAGGACUCAUAUCAGACUGCCGGUGAUAAACCGGAGGAAGGUGGGGAUGACGUCAAAUCAUCAUGCCCCUUAUGGCCUGGGCUACACACGUACUACAAUGGCGUCUACAAAGAGCGGCAAGCCUGUGAAGGCAAGCGAAUCUCAUAAAGGACGUCUCAGUUCGGAUUGAAGUCUGCAACCCGACUUCAUGAAGCUGGAAUCGCUAGUAAUCGCGAAUCAGCAUGUCACGGUGAAUACGUUCUCG
This 1017-nucleotide ribosomal RNA is filed under the name uncultured bacterium. RNAcentral's name for it is "bacterial SSU rRNA". It matches the Rfam family "Bacterial small subunit ribosomal RNA", at positions 356 to 1376 of the family's 1533-position model. The record is from RNAcentral.